Molecule: long non-coding RNA, 1405 nt
Organism: Acanthaster planci (crown-of-thorns starfish)
Lineage: Eukaryota; Metazoa; Echinodermata; Asteroidea; Valvatida; Acanthasteridae
Source: RefSeq, a predicted model, not a curated record
GCCUCUCCUAUCCUCAAGCAGACAUGGCUGCGGACAAUCAGACACUGAGAGGGAGGCUCGCCUCGUUUGCCACAGAUUUGUAUAAGAAUCCUUUCAAAAGGCAAUUUAUAAAGAAUGCUGUCCUCUUUGGUGUGGGUGUGUGGCUAGCCAGGGAGUUUGCUGACAUAGAUGUUACGGGACCAGCAGUUCCUGCGUCGUGAUGCAGUCACGCAAGAAGUUUAGACAGCCAUUUGGCCAUCAUUUAGCAAUCCAGCCGGAGUUAAUCCCCAUAAUUCGAAUCACCAACCAAGAACGUGCAUGACCCCAGCUUACUACCAGCUGACGAGACUAAAGAACCAGAGAGAGCAAGGGUAUGUUCAGCAGUCAUUAUGGGCAGACGUGUCAGAUACGCCAGCCGAACUCCCAACAUGACCGAUACCACACCAAUGCCAUAUUUAUCGUGUAGCACACCAUGGAUGUGCACGGAUGAGCCCAAGACAAGCUAGGUGAGCUGCAACUGUGAUUCAGGGCUCGGAUUUUACAAAACUGGAAGGAGGACUCUCGUAGUACUUGGAGGCACCACACCACAGGCCCUAUCAAAGGACACCUGUACUACUUUUCCUAUGUUGGUCCAAGUUGGUAUUGGCUGGAGGUAUUUUUCUUCACUGUCUUCUGUAUAUACCCGGGAGGGGGGAAUUUAGUGCUAUUUGUAUUCGAAUUAAGCAGGGGUGCGCUCUAUACUUCCUUGAAUUUGUGAGAUGAAAUGGCCAUUUUAGUUUGCAUUUUUUUAUCAAAGUUUCCAAAAUUGUAAAUUAUUGUUUCUGGCUUUUGACAGAGGUACAUGUAAGGACACCAACACUAAAAUAAAAAAAAAAAUCACAUACACCAAUAGAAGGCCAAUUUAUUUUGGAACACUUGGUUCUCUUUGAUGUGUUGACCAUUUGAGAAUGCUCAGACCGUAAAAUCUGUACCAGGUUUCUCUCUAAGGGGAAGUUAGAUCGGCAUUUGUCGGCCACCGGUCGAUCUUCCUGGAAUCCAGAAUGCACUCGUAUUGUGUGCACAGGUUACCAGGGAAAUCAACCGGUGGUCAACAAAUAGUCGCUUGAGGUUUUGUGCGUAAUCAAUCGAUAUCAAACUGUAAACGGAUGGUAUUUUGAAGAGAAAGCAAGUUUGCUUUUACUCAGGUCAGUUUUCUUGGGCGCUUCGUUUUGGUUCUGUUUUUAAAUGUCAUUUCAACCAUGCUAACAUACAGUAAAAAACAAUUGUUCUGCCCUUCAUCACCAUGCUUUUUACUGGCAUUUACAGGACUGAGGCCAAUUAUAUGGCAGGAUUUACCAACUUCGUGUACAUGUACCACUUGUAUGUGCAGUGUCAUUGUUUCAAAUUCUUCUUGUUAAUAAACUGAGCCAUUGGUCAUGGAAUUUAA